This 253-nucleotide ribosomal RNA is filed under the name uncultured prokaryote. RNAcentral's name for it is "partial 16S ribosomal RNA". It matches the Rfam family "Bacterial small subunit ribosomal RNA", at positions 525 to 777 of the family's 1533-position model. The record is from RNAcentral.
ACGUAGGCAGCGAGCGUUGUUCGGAGUUACUGGGCGUAAAGAGUGCGUAGGCGGUGACCUAAGUCUGGUGUGAAAUCUCCCGGCUCAACUGGGAGGGUGCGCCGGAAACUGGGUUGCUUGAGUGUGGGAGAGGUAAGCGGAAUUCCGAGUGUAGAGGUGAAAUUCGUAGAUAUUCGGAAGAACACCAGUGGCGAAGGCGGCUUACUGGACCGUUGUUGACGCUGAGGUGCGAAAGCGUGGGGAGCAAACAGGA